GGGUCGGAGCACCUGCCGCUCCUGCGGCCGCCCCGCCCUGGGCUGACCCGGGUGUUCAUGGGGUCUUCGCCGAAUACCGGAUCCCUCAGAAACCGAGAAUUGAGGCUUGAGACCGUGCCUCUCAGGAGAGAGGCAGCCUUGCCCUCCACGGUUUACCGAAGUCCGCUGAGAGAGGUCCGCGGGCAUCCUCCGCGUCCACAGCGGGCACUAGGGCUGCAGCCUGCACGCCCCCCGACCUCCCGGCCACCUGGCCCCGCCCGGAUAGUGCUGCUGCCCUGAACCUGGGCGGCUGCAGUGCUGCCUAAUCCGAAGACACCAGCCUCGGACUGCUGAUCCUUCUGCGGAGUUUGAACUGUGAAGGUGAAAGAACAGGUCUUCGCUUUAGAAGCUAGGCCUGCCUCGAGGGCCUGGAUUCUAAGAAGUAGCGAGGAGGCCGCAGGAGCAUACAUAGGUCCUGAGGGCAUCCGAACCCCUACCAGCCCAGCCCAGCACUGACUUCACCCCACCUACCUCUUGGAAGGGAAGCAGCGGAGGCAUGAAGGCAAAUCUCUUAAUCCGGGAUCAUCACUGACUGAUAAAUUUCAUUCUGGGAACGCUGCUCGUUGGCAUGUCUUUGGUUUUGGUACCAGCGUGAUAGAGGCUUCGCAUGAUGUCUUUGGAAGUGUUCCCUCCUCUUCAGUCUUUUGGAAGAGUUUGAGAAGAACUGGAUGAAAACAGAGGAGGGACCGGGCAGUCCCAGCAGGAUGGGGAAGCAGACAGACCUAUGACACACCAAGCAGCUCCAGAGCCACGACCAGCCCCUGACAAGGAGCAGCAGAAGUCUCAAAGCCUGUGAUGACCAGCCUGAGCUCACAGCAGCCCUGCUGACUGCUGUGCCCUGCACCUUGUAGAGGAUCUGCUGGGAGGACCUGGCUUCCUGGGAGGCAAAACUUCCUUGAAGAAAACACCUCUCCAUUCAUUCACGAAAUACUGUCUAGGCAGCUGUGAUGACUAAGACCUGGCCCUUGCCGUGGGAGGGGUGCUGGCACAGCCAGGAUUAUAGCAGGGCAGUGUGUGAUGGAGAUGUAAGGUGCUGGGGGGCUAGAGGAGGGAGGGAUCAGCAGAGCUGGGGCAGGGGAGGUGCAGAAGGGGCUACAGAUGUGGUGGACUCGGGUCUGUGCCUUCCAUGGGAGUAGCUAUUCCAGAAGAGAGCUGCUGCUAUGUUGCUGUGUUUAAUCAGUCAAUCCAGUGCAUAUUUACUGAGUACCCGAGAGACCCUGAAGACAUCCUGUCUCCUCCCUGAGCCCCUGUUUCUUCACUUGAAUAAUGAGGAAAUUAGACUAGGUAAAUUCUAGGGACAAACUGAGUCCCAGACACAGAGCUAAGAAGUACAGAUUUGGUUUUUUUUUUCCCUAAAUACUGUGUUAUUGAUCUAAUUUAUAACUCUAUUGUGGUCAGAGAAUUUACUUCGUAUGACUUGAAUACAUUUACAUGUAUAGAGACUUGUUUUAUGGCCCAGAAUAUGGUCCUUCUUGGUAUAUGUUCUGUGUGUACUUGAAAAGAAUGUGUAUUUUGCUACUGUUGGUGGAAUUUUACGUCAGAUCCUGUUGGUUGAUGGUGUUGUUAACGUCUAUAUCUUUUCUGUUUAUGUCUAGUUUUGGUGGAGUUUUUUUAUUUUUUAUUUUUUUUAGGGCUGCACCUGCAGCAUAUGGAAGUUCCAAGGCUAGGGGUUGAAUUUGAGCUGUAGCUGCAGGCCUGUGCCACAGCCAUAGCAAUGCCAGAUCCAAGCCCCACCUGUGACCUACACCACAGUUCACGGCAAUGCCAGAUCCAUAAACUACUGAGCAAGGCCAGGGACUGAACCAUGUCCUCCUGGAUACUAGUCGGGUUCAUUACCCUUGAGCCACAAUGGGAAUUCCUGCUUUUGUCUAGUUCUGUCAGUUGUUGAUGGCAGGGGCGGGGGGCGCGAUAUCCCCACGUAUAUCUGUAUCCAUAAGCCUAUUUAUUGUCUGUUUCUUCUUUCUGUUCUAUCAGUUUUUGUUUCCCACAAUUUGCAAAUGGUUGUUUGGUGUAUACAUAUUUAGGAUUGCAAAGUAUAUUCUUCAUAAGUGGACAUUUUUUUCUCAUUAUAUAAUGACCUUCUCUGUUUCUAGCAACAUUUGCUUUGCUCUGAAGCCAAUAUUAAUAUAGCCUCUCAAGCUUUCUUUUAAUGUUUAGUGUUUUCAUUAUGUAUCUUUUUCCAUCCUCUUAGUUUCAACCUGCCUGUAUCACUAUAUUUAGUUUCUUAUAGACAGCAUAUAGCUGAGUCCUUAAAAAAAAUCCACUGUAAUAACCUGUGUCAUUCAAUUAGUAUAUUUAAGAUAACACACAUUUUUACAUAGGUCACUUACAUAAUAAUUAAGGUAGUCAUUCAUAUAUUAGGGUUUUAAGUUUGCCAUUCUUUGGCCACACCAACAGAAUGUGGAAGUUCCCGAGCAGGGGAUGAAGCCUGCUCCACAGCAGCAAUCCAAGAUGCUUCAGUGACAAGGCCAGAUCCUUAACCUGCUGCACCACAAAAGGACUACAAGUCUGCCAUUGUUUUUUGGUUUUCUGUUUAUUCUGGGUUUUUUGCUUCUAUAUAUUUUUCUUGCCAUUCUGGUAGAUUACCACAUUUUUUCGAAUUCUGUUCUGUAAUAUUUUGAAUGCAUUCAUUUUUAUAGAUUUUUUUAAGGGGUUGCUCUAGGUCUUACCUUAUAUGUAUGUGCAUGUGAGUAUAUAUAUAUGAUAUAUGUAAGAUACAUAAGUGUGGGGAUAUAUAUACACACACACGUGUGUGUGUGUGUGUGUAUCACUCUACUGGUGUCCUCAUUUUACCAGCAAGGUAGCAUUUUUCAGUUGCUGCUUUUAAGAUAUUUUCUUUGUCUUUAGUUUUCAGAAUGAAAGAUUCAGAUGAAUCUUGAUGUGGAUUUCCUGGGAUUUUUCAUAUUUGGAUUCACUUAGCAUCUGGAAUCUGCAGAUAAGUUUUUAUGUGUACAGGUCAGUGGCACUGUGUACCUUCACACUGCUGUGCAUCCAUCACCACUAUCCAUAUCCAAAACUUCUGCAUUAUCCCAAACUGAAUCUGUGUACUCCCUAAACAAUAAUUACCCAUUCCUUCUCUCUCCAGCCCUUGGUUACCACUAUUCUACUUUCUGUCUCUGUUUUCAACUACUAUGGGUACCUCAUAUAAGUGUAAGCAUACAAUAUUUGUCCUUUUGUGACUGGCUUAUUUCACUCAGCAUGAUCUCUUCAAGCUUCUUCCAUGUGGUUUCACUUUUAAGGCUGAAUGAUAUUUCAUUGUAGGUAUAUUCCACAUUUUAUUUAUUCAUCUAUCCAUGGACAAUUAGGUUAUUUCAACCUUUUAGCUAUUUUCAAUAAUGCCUAUUAUGAACACUGGUGUACAAAUAUUUGUUCAAGCCCCUGCUUUCAGUUUUUUUUGUGUGUGUAUACCAGAAGUGGAAUUGCUGGAUCAAAUGGUAAUUCUAUGUUUGAUAUUUUUGAGGAACUGCUAUACUCUUUCCCCACAGUGACUGCUCCACUUUGCAUUGCUGCCAGUAAUGCAAAGGGUUGAGUUUUUCCACAUCCAUACCAACAACUUGUUUUUUGUUUUUUGUUUUUUAACAAUAGCUGUCCUAGGAUAUGGGUAAGAUAUAACAUCUCAUUGUGGUCUUGGUUUGCAGUUCCCUAAUGAUUAGUGAUGUUAAGCAUCUUUUAAUGUGCAUUUUGGCUAUUUGUAUAUCUUCUUUGGAGAAAUGUCUAUUCAAGUCCUUUGCCUAUUUUUGACUUGGGCUAUUUUGAUAUUGAAGUUUAGGUGUUCUGGAUACUAAUCCCUUAUCAGAUAUGUGACCUGCAAAUAUUUUAUUCCAUUCUGUUGAUUGCUUCUUUACUCUGUUGAUAGUGUUCUUUGAUGCACAAAUGUUUUUAAUUUUUAAAAAAUUCAAUUUUUCGAUAUUUUCUUUUUUGCCUGUGCCUUUGGUGUCACAUCCAAAAAAAUAAUUGCCAAACCCAAUGUCAUGAAGCUUUACUUCUGUUUUCUUCUAAGAGUUUUAUAGCUUUAGCUCUUAUAUUAGGUCUUUAAUCCAUGCAUUACUGUAUCCUUUUUAAGAUUCUUUUCCAUUAUAUUUUUUAAGAUUUUAAUUUUUUCCAUUAUAGUUGAUUUAUAGCAUUGUGUCAAUUUAUACUAUAUAGCAAAAUGACCCAGUCAGAUAUAAAUAUAUAUAUAGAAUACGUAUUCUUUUUCUCACAUUACUCUCCAUCAUGCUCCAUCACAAGUGACCAGAUAUAUUUCCCUGUGCUAUACAGCAGGAUCCCAUUGCUUAUCCACUCCAAAUAUCAUAGUUUGCAUCUAUUAACCCCAAACUCCCAGUUUAUCCCACUCCCUCCCCCUCUCCCUUGGCAACCACAAAUCUGUUCUCCAAGUCUAUGAGUUUCUUUUCUACUACAGGUAUUGAACAUAGUUCCCUGGGGUAUACAGUAGGAUUCUGUUGUUUAUCUAUUUUGUAUAUAGUAGUGUGUAUAUGUUAAUUCCAAACUCCUCAUUUAUCACCUCCUUCCUCUUUGGUAACCAUAAAUUUGUGAGUCUAUUUCUGUUUUGUGAAUAAGUUCAUUCUCUAAGAUUCCACUUCAGGGAUAUCAUAUUUGUCUUUUGCUGUCUGUGCAUGAUAAUCUCUAGGUCUGUGCAUGUUGCUGGAAAUCGCAUUAUUUCAUUAUUUUUAAUAACUAAUAGUCCAUAUAUGAACCACAUCCUCUUUAUCCAUUACUCUGUUGAUGGACACAUAGGUGGCUUCUAUGUCUCAGAUAUUAUGAAUAGCGCUGAGAUGAACAUUGGGGUGCAUGUAUCUUUUUGAAUUAUAGAUUUUGUAUUUUCCGAAUAUAUGCCUGGAAGUGGGAUUGCGAGAUCAUAUGGUAACUCUAUUUUUAGUUUUUAUCAGGAAUGUCUGUUCUGUUCUCCAUAGUGGCCUCACCAGUGAGGGCAACACCCUUCCCACCAACGGUGUAAGAAGGUUCCCUUUUCUCCACACCCUGUUAAGCAUUAAGUCCUUGUAGACUUUUUGAUGAUGGCCAUUAUGACUGGUAUGAGGUAAUACCUCACUGUAGUCUCGAUUUACAUUUGUUUCAUUAUUUAGCAGCAUUGAGCAUCUUUUCAUUGCCUAUUAGGCCAUCUGGAUGUUGUCUUUGGAGAAAUGUCUAUUUAGGUUCUUUGCCCAUUUUUUGAUUGGGUCGUUUUUUUAAUAUUGAGAUAUAUGAAUUGUUUGUAUAUUUUGGAACUAAAGCCCUUGUUGGAUACAUUAUUCAAGUAUCACUUUUUUAUAUGGUGUUAGGGAAGGGUCCAACAUCAUUCUUUUGCAUGUGGAUAUCUAGUUUUCCCAACAUAAUUUGUUCAAUAGACUGUCCUAUCCCCACCGAAUGGUAUUGGGAUGCUUGCCAAAAAGUUGUUUAUUUGAUAUAUAUGUGAGAGUUUAUUUCUGGGCUCUCUAUUCUACUCCAUUGCUCUAUAUAGCUGUCUUUAUGUAGUAAAAUUGGACAUUAGAAAGUGUGAGUCUUCCACCUUUUUCUUUUUCAAGAUUUUUAUGCUGGUGGGGUCCCUUGAGGUUUAUAGAAUGGAUUUUUCCACUUCUAGAAAAACGUCAUUGGGAUUUUGAUAGUGAUUGCACUGAAUCUAAAGAUUGUUUGGGUAGUUUUGACAUCUUAACAAUAUUAAGUCUUUCAGUCAAUACGAAAUUUUAAUCUGUUUAUGUCUCCUUAAAUUUUUUUUCAGCAGUGUUUUAUAGUUUGCAGUGCAUAACACAUUGGUUAACUUAACUCCUUGGUUAAGGUAAUUCUUAAGAACUUUGUUCAGAAAAUUGCUAUUGUGCCUGGAACUGUUUACUUAAUUUCCUUUUGGGAUUGUUCCCUGUCAGUGUAUAGAAACACAGCUGACUUUUGCAUGUUAAUUUUAUAUCCUACUACCUUCCUGAAUUUGUUAUUGUUAUUGUUAUUAUUAUUUUUUGAGGGCCACAUCCACAGUAUAAGGAAGUUCCCAGGCUAGGGGUCAAAUCGCAGGUGCAGCUGCCAGCUUACACCACAGCCACAGCAAUGCCAGAUCUGAGCUGCAUCUGCAACCUACAUACACCACAGCUCAUGGCAAUGCUGGAUCCUUAACCCACUGAGCAAGGCCAGGGGCUGAACCCAUCCCCCAUGGACCCUAGUUGGGUUACCUCUGAGUCACAAGGGGAACUCCUGAAUUUAUUUUUUUUUUUAAUUUUGUGGAGUCUUUAGGGUUUCCUAUAGUAUAAUAUCAUGUUAUCUAUGAAGAGAGAUAAUUUUACUUCUAUUCAAUUUAGAUAUUAUUUCUUCAAAUACUUUUUCCACUCUGCCCUCUUUUUCCUCCUUCUGGGACUUCAAUAUUAGAUCUUUUGUUAUAGGUAUGAUGGGCCUCUGAAGCUCUUUCCAGUUUUACCUUUUUAUUAGUCACUUUAUCUAUUUUUGAGAUUAGACAGAUUAUAUUGUUCUUUCUUUAAGUUCAUUAAUUAAUUCCUCUAUUUUUUACAUUCUGUUAAGUUCAAAUCUGUCAGUUUUGGUAAUGUCAAUUUUGGUAUUAUUUAUCAGUGCUUAAAUUUCUGUUCAUUUCUUAUUUAUAUCUUAUAUUUCUUUACUGAGAUGAUCUCUUUUUUCAUUUGUUUUGAGGAUGUUUCUAACUGCUUGUUAAGCACUUUUAUGAUGACUUUAAAAUCUUUGUCAGAUCAUUAUAAAAUCUGUAAUCUUGCAGUUGA
RNAcentral lists this long non-coding RNA (6749 nucleotides) under Sus scrofa (pig). Its description in RNAcentral is "lncRNA (ENSSSCG00065021955.1)". Lineage: Eukaryota; Metazoa; Chordata; Mammalia; Artiodactyla; Suidae. The record is from RNAcentral.